AUUGAACGCUGGCGGCAGGCCUAACACAUGCAAGUCGAACGGUAACAGGAAGCAGCUUGCUGCUUCGCUGACGAGUGGCGGACGGGUGAGUAAUGUCUGGGAAGCUGCCUGAUGGAGGGGGAUAACUACUGGAAACGGUAGCUAAUACCGCAUAAUGUCGCAAGACCAAAGAGGGGGACCUUCGGGCCUCUUGCCAUCGGAUGUGCCCAGAUGGGAUUAGCUUGUUGGUGGGGUAACGGCUCACCAAGGCGACGAUCCCUAGCUGGUCUGAGAGGAUGACCAGCCACACUGGGACUGAGACACGGUCCAGACUCCUACGGGAGGCAGCAGUGGGGAAUAUUGCACAAUGGGCGCAAGCCUGAUGCAGCCAUGCCGCGUGUAUGAAGAAGGCCUUCGGGUUGUAAAGUACUUUCAGCGGUGAGGAAGGGAGUAAAGUUAAUACCUUGGCUCAUUGACGUUACCCGCAGAAGAAGCACCGGCUAACUCCGUG
Molecule: ribosomal RNA, 490 nt
Filed under: uncultured bacterium
Lineage: Bacteria
Description: partial 16S ribosomal RNA
Rfam family: Bacterial small subunit ribosomal RNA
Source: RNAcentral